ACGAAGGGGGCUAGCGUUGCUCGGAAUUACUGGGCGUAAAGGGCGCGUAGGCGGAUCGUUAAGUCAGAGGUGAAAUCCCGGAGCUCAACUUCGGAAUUGCCUUUGAUACUGGCGAUCUUGAGUGUGAGAGAGGUAUGUGGAACUCCGAGUGUAGAGGUGAAAUUCGUAGAUAUUCGGAAGAACACCAGUGGCGAAGGCGACAUACUGGCUCAUUACUGACGCUGAGGCGCGAAAGCGUGGGGAGCAAACAGGA
Molecule: ribosomal RNA, 253 nt
Filed under: uncultured prokaryote
Description: partial 16S ribosomal RNA
Rfam family: Bacterial small subunit ribosomal RNA
Source: RNAcentral